This 72-nucleotide transfer RNA is filed under the name Sphingomonas changbaiensis NBRC 104936. It matches the Rfam family "tRNA". From Rfam's summary of the family: Transfer RNA (tRNA) molecules are approximately 80 nucleotides in length. Their secondary structure includes four short double-helical elements and three loops (D, anti-codon, and T loops). Lineage: Bacteria; Pseudomonadati; Pseudomonadota; Alphaproteobacteria; Sphingomonadales; Sphingomonadaceae. The record is from Rfam by way of RNAcentral.
GGGCGCGUAGCUCAGUGGUAGAGCACACCCUUCACACGGGUGGGGUCGCAAGUUCAAUCCUUGCCGUGCCCA